RNAcentral lists this transfer RNA (73 nucleotides) under Lovettia sealii (Tasmanian whitebait). RNAcentral describes it as "tRNA-Asn". It matches the Rfam family "tRNA". From Rfam's summary of the family: Transfer RNA (tRNA) molecules are approximately 80 nucleotides in length. Their secondary structure includes four short double-helical elements and three loops (D, anti-codon, and T loops). The record is from RNAcentral. Lineage: Eukaryota; Metazoa; Chordata; Actinopteri; Galaxiiformes; Galaxiidae.
UAAGUGAAUGCUCGCUGGUUAGGGCGCUUAGCUGUUAACUAAGAGUUCGAAGGAUCAAAGCCUUCUCAUUUAG